GACGAACGCUGGCGGCGUGCUUAACACAUGCAAGUCGAACGGAAAGGCCCCCAUCUUGGUGGGGGUGCUCGAGUGGCGAACGGGUGAGUAACACGUGGGUGAUCUGCCCUGUACUUCGGGAUAAGCUUGGGAAACUGGGUCUAAUACCGGAUAGGACCAUGGUUGAGUGUCUCCUGGUGGAAAGAUGAUUGUUUUGGUGCAGGAUGGGCGCUCGGCCUAUCAGCUGGUUGGUGGGGUAAUGGCCUACCAAGGCGUCGACGGGUAGCCGGCCGGAGAGGGUGGACGGCCACGUUGUGACUGAGGUACGGGCCAGCCACGGACGGGAGGAGGCGGGGAGGAAGAUUGCUCAAUGGGAGCAAGCCUGAGGCAGCGCGGGCGCGUGGGGGAGGACGGCCUUUGGGUAAGAACUUCCUUUGGUUAGGAACGAAGGCGCGCUUUUUUCGGGCGUGGUGACGGUACCUUAGUGAAGAAGCACCGGCUAACUACGUG
Molecule: ribosomal RNA, 489 nt
Filed under: uncultured bacterium
Lineage: Bacteria
Description: partial 16S ribosomal RNA
Rfam family: Bacterial small subunit ribosomal RNA
Source: RNAcentral